RNAcentral lists this ribosomal RNA (425 nucleotides) under uncultured bacterium. RNAcentral's name for it is "bacterial SSU rRNA". It matches the Rfam family "Bacterial small subunit ribosomal RNA", at positions 355 to 772 of the family's 1533-position model. The record is from RNAcentral.
UGGGGAAUAUUGCACAAUGGGCGCAAGCCUGAUGCAGCCAUGCCGCGUGUAUGAAGAAGGCCUUCGGGUUGUAAAGUACUUUCAGUGGGGAGGAAGGCGAUGAAGUUAAUAGCUUCGUCGAUUGACGUUACCCGCAGAAGAAGCACCGGCUAACUCCGUGCCAGCAGCCGCGGUAAUACGGAGGGUGCAAGCGUUAAUCGGAAUUACUGGGCGUAAAGCGCACGCAGGCGGUCUGUCAAGUCGGAUGUGAAAUCCCCGGGCUCAACCUGGGAACUGCAUUCGAAACUGGCAGGCUAGAGUCUUGUAGAGGGGGGUAGAAUUCCAGGUGUAGCGGUGAAAUGCGUAGAGAUCUGGAGGAAUACCGGUGGCGAAGGCGGCCCCCUGGACAAAGACUGACGCUCAGGUGCGAAAGCGUGGGGAGCAAA